GUUCCGCCAGGAGCACAGCUGAGUAGCUAUGUCUGGAAGGGAUAAGUGCUGAAGGCAUCUAAGCACGAAGCCCCCCUCAAGAUAAGAUUUCCCACCUAAAUAGGUUAAGACUCCAAGUAGACCACUUGGUUGAUAGGCCAUAAGUAUAAGAGUAGCAAUACUCUUAGCCAAAUGGUACUAAUAAGUCGAGGGCUUGACCAGAU
RNAcentral lists this ribosomal RNA (203 nucleotides) under Tepidimicrobium sp. RNAcentral describes it as "partial 23S ribosomal RNA". It matches the Rfam family "Bacterial large subunit ribosomal RNA", at positions 2723 to 2925 of the family's 2925-position model. Lineage: Bacteria; Bacillati; Bacillota; Tissierellia; Tissierellales; Tepidimicrobiaceae. The record is from RNAcentral.